Salvia hispanica is the source of this 287-nucleotide non-coding RNA. Lineage: Eukaryota; Viridiplantae; Streptophyta; Magnoliopsida; Lamiales; Lamiaceae. The record is from RefSeq and is a predicted model, not a curated record.
GGAAGAUUGCAUGUCAUAUGCAGUUCAAUUUAUUUUUCUUCUUCUUCCACCCUAUCACCAAAAAAACGUUCACUCCCAACUGUUUUGGAAGCUAAGGAACCAAGACUUUCAUUCCCAAGUUGAGCAGUGACAGUGGAGAAUGCUGAGCAAAGUUAUGAUUUUUCUUUUAUUUUAAGUAUAGGCUCUCGACGGUGUAUGUCUCCAUACAUGUGACCGUGUUCAUUCCGCUGCGUAUUGUUCUUCUAUACUCUAAUAAUUAUUUAUUGAAUAGUAAGAUUUCCAUUCAA